AUGAACGCUGACAGAAUGCUUAACACAUGCAAGUCAACUUGAAUUUGGGUUUUUAACUUAGGUUUGGGUGGUGGACGGGUGAGUAACGCGUAAAGAACUUGCCUCACAGCUAGGGACAACAUUUGGAAACGAAUGCUAAUACCUAAUAUUAUGAUAAUAGGGCAUCCUAUAAUUAUGAAAGCUAUAAGCGCUGUGAGAGAGCUUUGCGUCCCAUUAGCUAGUUGGAGAGGUAACGGCUCACCAAGGCGAUGAUGGGUAGCCGGCCUGAGAGGGUGAUCGGCCACAAGGGGACUGAGACACGGCCCUUACUCCUACGGGAGGCAGCAGUGGGGAAUAUUGGACAAUGGACCGAGAGUCUGAUCCAGCAAUUCUGUGUGCACGAUGAAGUUUUUCGGAAUGUAAAGUGCUUUCAGUUGGGAAGAAACAAAUGACGGUACCAACAGAAGAAGUGACGGCUAAAUACGUG
RNAcentral lists this ribosomal RNA (466 nucleotides) under uncultured bacterium. Its description in RNAcentral is "partial 16S ribosomal RNA". It matches the Rfam family "Bacterial small subunit ribosomal RNA", at positions 29 to 507 of the family's 1533-position model. The record is from RNAcentral.